Molecule: long non-coding RNA, 604 nt
Organism: Pygocentrus nattereri (red-bellied piranha)
Lineage: Eukaryota; Metazoa; Chordata; Actinopteri; Characiformes; Serrasalmidae
Exons: 3
Source: RefSeq, a predicted model, not a curated record
UGUGCUGUAACAGCCUGUUACAUGUAGCAUUUUCCUACCACCUAGUGGCAGAUUUAGGUAGAUUCUUUAUUGCAGGUUCUGGUGUCAUCACACAGGAAGCAAAGGAACCAGUAAGUGUGUUCAUUGUUCAGGCACAUGCUGAUGGACUUCUCCACAAUCUGUUCGCAUCUGUUGUCUUUCGUGGCAUCAUCUUUUCACAACCUCCAACAUGAUUAAACCUGUGGACAACAUUAACUGUCUUCAGAGUCAUGAUGUAAAGAAGAUGUUGACAUUUGCUGUCAGUGCUCUGAGCCAGUAAGAGAGAAAGACAUGAAGACAUUGGAUUGUUUCUAUUUUUGGAGCUUCCAGCUGCUGUAAAGAGGAACCCUAUGUGUAGCAAAGCCACUGAUGGAAGCAUGGGAAGAUUCAUCAAGAGAUGGUUCCAGCUUGCAACGGAAUGGGAUUCAUUUAUUUGUUUAUUUUCAUGCAGGUCUGUAUACAAGUCACCAAUUUCAAUAAAUUGACAGUUAAGUGUUUAUAAAUAUCAAUUUUAAUUCAAGCUAAAGUUACAUGAAUUAAGAAUGUAUGUUUGUGAUCAUAUUAAAAUUAAAAUAUAUAAAACUUU